CUGUUAAUUUUGUUCUCCCUCAGUCUCUUCGAACUCCUCCUUUGAGCACAGAUUUCCAGAUGGUCCCGUUUUAUGACCCCGACAAACUGGAUGGAUAUUUCAAUCCAUGUAGUAAUCACAUUGAAGAACAGAAGAGCGCUGAGACCAUCUUGAGUUGCC
This is a long non-coding RNA of Corythoichthys intestinalis (scribbled pipefish), 159 nucleotides long. RefSeq lists it as uncharacterized. The transcript has 3 exons. The record is from RefSeq and is a predicted model, not a curated record. Lineage: Eukaryota; Metazoa; Chordata; Actinopteri; Syngnathiformes; Syngnathidae.